AGAUGUGGAGGAGAGCAUUCCAGAACAAAACUAGAAUGAGUGAAAACAGAGAGAGUUAGGAUAUUGUGGCACAGAGGGAGCCAAUCCAAGUAGUUCCAUUUACCUGGAGUAUAGGGCUCACCAAGGGGAAGAUCUCAAAUACUAAAUAAAUACAUUAGGACUUUAUUUUGAAAAAAAAUAGAAAGAUAUUGGCCAUUCGUGAACAGUACCAUGAUCAGAACUAGGCGUUUAGCACCACAGCUAUUCAUGACUGGACUUGGACCAAGACUGGGCGUAGAAAAAUCAUGUAGCCUCGGAAGCAGAGUCUGUGACUGUGAGCUGGCGGAUUAAUGUGAUGGGCUUGGGGGUGAGCUCUUUGUCUCAGCUUCAUCAAUGGCUAGGUGUCCAUUUAAACAUCUAGGUGUUGAUGCGAUGUGUGAUUUUCCAAGGCAUUUGGCUUUUAUGUCCUCAUUUCAGAGAGAACCAUCUGUGGAUGGCUAUCUGGAGCCCCACAGCAGUGGAAUGAUGGGAAAGUCCUUUCAAAUUACAAGGAAGAUUAGCUCCCAUCAUCCACACAGACUUCAAGAAACUCAGAUGGUGUCCUGAGGAUCCCCUGUAGCUCACCCCAAACCUAAUCUUUCUAAGAAGUUGUAGUUCUUUUCUAAAACAGCAUUUUAUGAAGUCCAGCCCCUGAGUUGCAGAGUAGUCAGUGACCAAACAAGCCUGUCUUAGGAGAGUGACAGUCUUUCAUCUCCAGGACAGCCGCAAAACAGACUCCCUUUUAUUUAGGACAAUGUAUUAUUAAUGCAGCAAAGUAUUUUACCUUUCUCCAAAGAGACGAUCUGGAGGGAUGGAGGGAUGGAUAAAAUAUCCUUAUCCAUCACCCGAGCUUGUUAGAGUGUUAAAUUCUACUUUCAAACUUCUUCAAACUCUAAUCCUUAAAUCAUUCUCUCCACCCCACUAGCAGCCCUCCCACCGUUCUGGCUGCACCAGCUCUUUCUCCAGAAUUAUUCCCACCUGAGGGCCACCGGGGCCUCCCAAGGCUCCCAUUAUCCCACUGCCUCCCCGCACAUCGGGGUCUGCCACUCCCUGACGCAUUUGCUGCCUAAGCGGUCAUGUUUUGCCCAACACGUCUCAGAGCCAGUGUUGUUCUGGUUACAAUGAGGUUUUUAUUCCCCCUAAUUUAUGGGAUUAGAUAUUCAGCCAAGGCAGACUUCUCAAACAUUGAAGUCAUACCAUCUCACACAGCUUUAAACUUUUUUUUUAAAUGGCAAAUGGGGUUCAAGAGCUUUCUGAGAGGAGCUAGACUGGCCCAUGAGGUAACUUGAUUAAGGGAUGUAGAAUAAUAAGCACAGAGUUGGAGAUAUUCGGCAACAGAAUGGUAGGACUCAGUCGGGAGAACAUUGGGAAAUCUGCAGAGCUGCAGCAGCUUGGAGCCUGCCACACAUGGAAGGAAAUAUGACGCUCCCCAGCAAUAUGUGCUCCCCUGGAAGAAGAGCUGAUGACUACCCAAAGGCGGGGCAGACAACUUGGCUUUUCUUCCUGUUGGUUUAUUCUUUGUUCUGAUGUGGCUGAUGGCAUUUUUAUGAGUCAAAAAAGCUUGAUGGUUAGGGAUGAACUGGUAUUAUGGUAUCACAAUAAACUCUGAAUCGCAAAAAACUUCCUGAUGUGUUUGCUCAACUGUGAUUCUAAAAGAGCUUUGUAUCCUCUGAAAAGAGGCUCAGUACCUUCAC
This 1712-nucleotide long non-coding RNA is filed under the name Equus asinus (donkey). RNAcentral's name for it is "lncRNA (ENSEASG00005028245.1)". Lineage: Eukaryota; Metazoa; Chordata; Mammalia; Perissodactyla; Equidae. The record is from RNAcentral.